UACGUAGGGUGCGAGCGUUGUCCGGAAUUAUUGGGCGUAAAGGGUGCGUAGAUGGCCUGAUAAGUUAGCAGUGGGAAAUCGAGGCUCAACCUCGUGGAAGCUGGUAAUACUGUCAGGCUCGAGUGCAGGAGAGGUUAACGGAACUCCAUGUGGAGCGGUAAAAUGUGUAGAUAUAUGGAAGAACACCAAUAACGGCGAAGGCAGUUAACUAUUCUGUUACUGACAUUGAGGCACGAAAGCGUGGGGAGCAAAACGG
Molecule: ribosomal RNA, 256 nt
Filed under: uncultured bacterium
Lineage: Bacteria
Description: partial 16S ribosomal RNA
Rfam family: Bacterial small subunit ribosomal RNA
Source: RNAcentral